AGUGAACGCUGGCGGUAGGCCUAACACAUGCAAGUCGAACGGCAGCACAGUAAGAGCUUGCUCUUACGGGUGGCGAGUGGCGGACGGGUGAGGAAUACAUCGGAAUCUACUUUUUCGUGGGGGAUAACGUAGGGAAACUUACGCUAAUACCGCAUACGACCUACGGGUGAAAGCAGGGGAUCUUCGGACCUUGCGCGAUUGAAUGAGCCGAUGUCGGAUUAGCUAGUUGGCGGGGUAAAGGCCCACCAAGGCGACGAUCCGUAGCUGGUCUGAGAGGAUGAUCAGCCACACUGGAACUGGAACACGGUCCAGACUCCUAAGGGAGGCAGCAGUGGGGAAUAUUGGAAAAUGGGCGCAAGCCUGAUCCAGCCAUACCGCGUGGGUGAAGAAGGCCUUCGGGUUUUAAAGCCCUUUUGUUGGGAAAGAAAAGCAGCAGGUUAAUACCCCGCUGUUCUGACGGUACCCAAAGAAUAAGCACCGGCUAACUUCGUG
RNAcentral lists this ribosomal RNA (492 nucleotides) under uncultured bacterium. RNAcentral's name for it is "partial 16S ribosomal RNA". It matches the Rfam family "Bacterial small subunit ribosomal RNA", at positions 29 to 507 of the family's 1533-position model. The record is from RNAcentral.